Molecule: ribosomal RNA, 510 nt
Filed under: uncultured bacterium
Lineage: Bacteria
Description: partial 16S ribosomal RNA
Rfam family: Bacterial small subunit ribosomal RNA
Source: RNAcentral
GAUGAACGCUGGCGGCGUGCUUAAUACAUGCAAGUCGAACGAAGAGCGGUGGAAGUUUGCUUCUAUCUAUUUUAGUGGCGAACGGGUGUGUAACGUGUAUUCAACCUGCCCUUCAGAGGGGGACAACAGUUGGAAACGACUGCUAAUACCGCAUACGAUCUAAUCUCGGCAUCAAGGAUAGAUGAAAGGUGGCGCCUACAUGUAUGCUAUCAUUGAAGCUGGGGUUUGUGUCUGAUUAGGUAGCUGGUGGAGUAACGGCCCACCAAGGCGAUGAUUAGUAGCCGGUCUGGGAAGAGGAACGGCCACAAUGGGACUGGGAAACGGCCCAGGCUCCUACGGGGAGCAGCAGGGAGGGAUCUUCCGGAAAUGACGAAAGUCUUACGGGACAACGGCGGGGGAGGUAUGACAGCCUUCGGGUUGUAAAGCUCUUGUUAUCAGGAAGAAAGGCCUGCGUGCGAAUAGGGGGAAGGAUUGACGGUACCGGAAUAGAAAGCCACGGCUAACUACGUG